CCCGCGCCGCCGCCCCCGCUCGCCUUGGGCCAGGCUGGCUCAGCACGGAUGAUGGCACCCCAGCGAAGACAUCUGCAACCCCCACUGAGAGCUGCAGUGCAGCACUGCGUGUAUUUGACAAGCUGAGUUUGACACUCAGUGUGCAGAGUGUCAGUUUGUCAAAUACCCCAAGUGAGGCAUUUGCUGAGCAACGCGGCGGCACACUGAGGGGACCGGUUCCUUCCUCCCACUCGGGCAGGGGCCUUCCUGUCCAUAUUCUGCUCCUCUCCAAAAACCCAGCAAGGUAUUGAACAACACAUCCCAUCGUUACUGAACACUUGACUCUGAUCCUGUGCUGUCAGACUUCCCUUCCACCCCAGUUUUGGAAGUGCUUAUCACGGUGGUACUCCUAAUGGCAAAUCUGUACAGAAGUGGUGCUGGCACAGUUUCUGGGCAUUGUAAAGGCAGAUAAUUGGGCCCUGGCUCCUUAUUCUUUGCAGCCAAAGACAAUGCUGUUCUCUUCCACAGCAUUAACUAGCCAGCUGUUAAUCAAUAAUCUUGCUCAGUUAACAAAGAUUCUGGCAACUGUAAUCACAACAUCAUGGGUAAGGGCAGCAUUAUCCAUAAUACAGAAUCUCUUCUUUGGACAUGAAGGAAUCUUUUUUUUUUUAUUUGAAGUUGGAGGACAAACUAAUAAGGCUGCUGAUUAACUUCCCUCUAUCCCAUUAGCCAGUGAAAAAUGCAUGUUUGCUCAAUCUGUUUUUGAAUUAGGCCAUGGAGUCCAUCGCUUCUUGAAGCCUUGUUGUUUGGAGAAGACUCCUUGUUUUGGGACAGUUAUUCCUAGUCAGCACUUGCAGCAAGGUUACUUAUUGCUUUUCUUGCCUUUCUGCUAUUUAGUUAAAGUAAUUCCCUCUAAAUCAUCCCACUUGAAGAUCUAAUGCUUGGUAAGCAUUUUUAGUCACUGACUUGUAGCACAUCAGAUCUGCAACUUGAGGUAUCUCAGGGUGGGGGGGAAUGACAGAGGGAGAGUGCCCAACCCAGUUUGAUAAAUCAAACUCUCUGAAAGCAUUUAGCAUUGAAAACUCAGAAACUAAGAAAAAAUCCCAAGACCCUACUGACUUGUUUUAGGACAGUACCACCAGCAAAUUUUGCAAUGUUUGACAAUAUUGAUAAACUUUAAUACUAAGCUUUUGGGCUUUUUGUUGCAACUAUUUCUUGCUAAAUAUUUUGAAGAAGUUGGAGUUUGUACAAAGCUGGGACUAAUGAAUGUAUAACAUUGCCUAAGCAAA
This is a long non-coding RNA of Harpia harpyja (harpy eagle), 1268 nucleotides long. RefSeq lists it as uncharacterized. The record is from RefSeq and is a predicted model, not a curated record. The transcript has 3 exons. Lineage: Eukaryota; Metazoa; Chordata; Aves; Accipitriformes; Accipitridae.